Molecule: long non-coding RNA, 472 nt
Organism: Pezoporus flaviventris
Lineage: Eukaryota; Metazoa; Chordata; Aves; Psittaciformes; Psittacidae
Exons: 2
Source: RefSeq, a predicted model, not a curated record
AGAGUAAAGGGGCAGGAUCACCUCCUUCAACCUGCUGGUCACACUCCUUUUGAUGCAGCCCAGGAUACGAAAAAGUUUCUUCCCGAAAAGGGUUGUCAGGCAUUGAAAUGGGCUGCCCUGGGAAUGGUCGAGUCACCACCCCUGGAGGUAAUUAAAAGAUGGGUAGAUGGGGCACUUAGGGACAUGGUUUAACAGUGGACCUGGCAGUGCUCGGUUAACAGUUGGAUUCCAUGAUCUUUGAAGUCUUUUCCAGUCUAAAUGAUUCUAUGAAAUGUGGGCUUCUAUAGUUUGAAUAUACUGGCAUCAUUUUGGAUAUAGAAAGAGAGGAAUCCUUAAUGCACUGUUGUAACUUGGAGCUAGCACAGAAGCUGACAAAGCCUGAAGCAUGCUGGUGGGGAGAGGUGCAUUGAGGCCCUUUUUCUGCUCCCUUAGUAAAGGAGUAAGUGUUCUGGACUAGCAUACAGGGCAAGUA